GGCCGGUUAGCUCAGUCAGUAGAUCGUAGCGCUAACAACGCUAAGGUCGCAGGUUCAAUUCCUGUUCAGUCCC
RNAcentral lists this transfer RNA (73 nucleotides) under Apaloderma vittatum (bar-tailed trogon). It matches the Rfam family "tRNA". Rfam says of the family: Transfer RNA (tRNA) molecules are approximately 80 nucleotides in length. Their secondary structure includes four short double-helical elements and three loops (D, anti-codon, and T loops). Lineage: Eukaryota; Metazoa; Chordata; Aves; Trogoniformes; Trogonidae. The record is from Rfam by way of RNAcentral.